CCCCGUCGCCGCCUCCCUCUCCUUCCAUGCUCCCCGCCGGGCGCCGCCGCCUCCCCUCUCCUCUCCGGCUUCCCUCCCCACCCCUCACCCCUCCGUGCGGCACGGGCCGGCAUUGAUACGGCGGGUCGCGGCUUACCUCCCGCAGCUGCUCAUCGGUGAGAGCAUCCUCGAAGGCCUCCUCCUCCUCCUGCUGCUCCGGCCUUGGAGCCUCCCCGCCAGCCGUGGCCCCCGCUUGCUCCUCGGGCACCGGCAGCGACGAGGCGUACACCGCCUCCUCGGCGACCACGGCGGUUGCCGGCUCCUCGAGAACCGGCGAGGAGGGUCGCGUCGCCUUCUCGAGCUCCAACUUUGACUCUAGCUCGAUCAGCACAGCGAGGGGCGCAUCGCCAUGGAGGAGGAAGGGGAGGAGGCCACGCCGCCGGCCGCGGUGCUGGGCAAGGCGGAGGCGGAGCUGGUGGCGGUGCUGCCGCCGGAUCCGUUCGCGCAGCUGGACGUGACGCGCAAGAUCACCUCCAUCGCGCUGUCGUCCCGCCUCGGCUGCGCUCUGCCCGUUGUUCAUCGAGCAAUGGUCGCUUCGCUGGCGGCGAACAUCCGACAGAUGCACGGCAAGAGCAAAAGGGGAUUGAUGAUCGAUGAUGGCCGUGUAUAGGUGGCUACAGGAACCAGUGGAGGAGAUGGUUUGCAAGCACCUCGUGGUGCUCCUAAAUUCUUGCUUGGAAGGUCAUGUAUCCAACUCUGAUGGAACUGACUUAAUGCGAUUAGCAUCCGGCUGCUUGCAGUAUGAAGCAUGCGACCGGCCAUAUCUGAAAGCAGUGGUGUCUGGUCUUGCAAGUCUCCAGAAAUAUGCUUCUGAAAUGUUCUAUCCUUGCAACUUCUCAUGUUCUAAUUCCUAUACCUUCUGUAUCUGUUGAGAACACAAAGGCUGGUCAUGUGUGCCAUACAUUUUAACUUGGUUUUCCUUUUGAUGUCAUCUAGCAUGUUUCCUUGCUUAAUAAUUCUAACUGAAUUUUGAUGCAGACUCCUUCGCACACUUUGCUGGGCAUCCAACAUGAUAAAAGUAGCUCAGACCAAGUCCUGUUAUCUGCUAUCGGUAAAGCUUUUGCCAGAGUCUUGAGAUGUUGCAGGAUGAUGGCUAUAAUGAGGAUGACAUGGCAAAUGUACUGAGCUAAUAUCAUUCCAAUGUAAGAUGAAUCUAAGAGCAUCCAUUUAAUAUGGGGCAGAUGAUUGAAACUUUUGCCAAAUGUCCACUUCUAGCAUAGCCCAGGACUGUCAUUUUCUAAAAUUACUCCUGAAGUGUUUCUUUCAUGCUUUUCACUUCUAGCAUGAUCCGCAUGUAAGUGCACCUCCGCCAGCACGAGUUUGUUCCAUCUGUGCUUUUCAGCCCCAACUCACAUGUCUGAUUUUGCAUCUUGUUUAUGCAGGUGGUCAGAGUUCUGAAGAUGCUUGUGCACACAUGUUCAGUGAUCAAGCGAUGCCGAUCAAUGCAAGAUCCAGCUGACUGAAACAACAAUCUCAGUAAUGGAUUUACCACCUGGUAGUGUUAGCACUUGUCAGCCCCGCGUUGCAGCUGACACUCUGGACUCUGAGCAGUUCAAACCGUUCAAAGCUUGCUAUGUGACGAGUGGAGCACAAGCAAACAACUCCUCAGCCCUCUUUACAUGUAUGAAAAGAAUGUAGCUUGCGCAAGUUAAAAUAUUGUACCAUAUUUCAUCAAACUCUCAGCUUCCUUAUCUGAAUUUGCUCUGACGACAAACUUCUGAAUGCCCGGAUCUGUGGAACGAGCAUUUCAGCUAUCUACUACUGCAGUUCAUAUAGACGAUGCCAGGACGUUAAAGCUCUUCUACUAAACGUUUAGAACUCACUCAUUAGGGUAUUCUGUGCCGGCAUGUAUUGUGGUACAGCUCCGAAUGUUUGAUUCUCAUCAUGUACUGCAGUUAACACGAUGUAUUGAUUUCAUCGUA
Long non-coding RNA from Panicum virgatum (switchgrass), 1961 nucleotides. RefSeq lists it as uncharacterized. The transcript has 3 exons. Lineage: Eukaryota; Viridiplantae; Streptophyta; Magnoliopsida; Poales; Poaceae. The record is from RefSeq and is a predicted model, not a curated record.